RNAcentral lists this ribosomal RNA (412 nucleotides) under uncultured bacterium. Its description in RNAcentral is "bacterial SSU rRNA". It matches the Rfam family "Bacterial small subunit ribosomal RNA", at positions 29 to 421 of the family's 1533-position model. The record is from RNAcentral.
AAUGAACGCUGGCGGCGUGCCUUAUACAUGCAAGUCGUACGAGAAACCCAUAGCUUGCUAUGGGGAGUAAAGUGGCGCACGGGUGAGUAACGCGUGGGUAACCUACCCUUAAGACUGGGAUAACAUCUCGAAAGGGGUGCUAAUACCGGAUAAGACCACAUGGGCUUAGGCCUGUGGGGUAAAAGGUGGCCUCUCGAUGAAGCUAUCGCUUAUGGAUGGGCCCGCGUACUAUUAGCUAGUUGGUGGGGUAAUGGCCUACCAAGGCGACGAUAGUUAGCUGGUCUGAGAGGAUGAUCAGCCACACUGGAACUGGAACACGGUCCAGACUCCUACGGGAGGCAGCAGUAAGGAAUUUUGCGCAAUGGGGGAAACCCUGACGCAGCAACGCCGCGUGAGUGAUGAAGGUCUUCGG